GACGAACGCUGGCGGCGUGCUUAACACAUGCAAGUCGAACGGAAAGGCCCUGCUUUUGUGGGGUGCUCGAGUGGCGAACGGGUGAGUAACACGUGAGUAACCUGCCCUUGACUUUGGGAUAACUUCAGGAAACUGGGGCUAAUACCGGAUAGGAGCUCCUGCUGCAUGGUGGGGGUUGGAAAGUUUCGGCGGUUGGGGAUGGACUCGCGGCUUAUCAGCUUGUUGGUGGGGUAGUGGCUUACCAAGGCUUUGACGAGCAGCCGGCCUGAGAGGGUGACCGGCCACAUUGGGACUGAGAUACGGCCCAGACUCCUACGGGAGGCAGCAGUGGGGAAUAUUGCACAAUGGGCGGAAGCCUGAUGCAGCAACGCCGCGUGCGGGAUGACGGCCUUCGGGUUGUAAACCGCUUUCGCCUGUGACGAAGCGUGAGUGACGGUAAUGGGUAAAGAAGCACCGGCUAACUACGUG
This 468-nucleotide ribosomal RNA is filed under the name uncultured bacterium. Its description in RNAcentral is "partial 16S ribosomal RNA". It matches the Rfam family "Bacterial small subunit ribosomal RNA", at positions 28 to 507 of the family's 1533-position model. The record is from RNAcentral.